GGGCCGUUAGCUCAGCUGGUAGAGCAGCAGACUCUUAAUCUGCGGGUCAGAGGUUCGAUCCCUCUACGGCUCA
RNAcentral lists this transfer RNA (73 nucleotides) under Spirochaetaceae bacterium. Its description in RNAcentral is "tRNA-Lys". It matches the Rfam family "tRNA". From Rfam's summary of the family: Transfer RNA (tRNA) molecules are approximately 80 nucleotides in length. Their secondary structure includes four short double-helical elements and three loops (D, anti-codon, and T loops). Lineage: Bacteria; Pseudomonadati; Spirochaetota; Spirochaetia; Spirochaetales; Spirochaetaceae. RNAcentral also lists the same sequence under 3 other names. The record is from RNAcentral.